UACGAAGGGGGCUAGCGUUGCUCGGAAUCACUGGGCGUAAAGGGUGCGUAGGCGGGUUUUUAAGUCAGGGGUGAAAUCCUGGAGCUCAACUCCAGAACUGCCUUUGAUACUGAAAAUCUUGAGUCCGGGAGAGGUGAGUGGAACUGCGAGUGUAGAGGUGAAAUUCGUAGAUAUUCGCAAGAACACCAGUGGCGAAGGCGGCUCACUGGCCCGGUACUGACGCUGAGGCACGAAAGCGUGGGGAGCGAACAGG
Molecule: ribosomal RNA, 253 nt
Filed under: uncultured bacterium
Lineage: Bacteria
Description: partial 16S ribosomal RNA
Rfam family: Bacterial small subunit ribosomal RNA
Source: RNAcentral